GCUUGGGUGGCUCAGUUGGUUAGAGCGCAGGUCUCAUAAUCCUGAGGUCAUGAGUUCGAUCCUCAUCCCGAGCA
RNAcentral lists this transfer RNA (74 nucleotides) under Fibroporia radiculosa. Its description in RNAcentral is "tRNA-Met (CAT) (tRNA-Met-CAT-1-1)". It matches the Rfam family "tRNA". From Rfam's summary of the family: Transfer RNA (tRNA) molecules are approximately 80 nucleotides in length. Their secondary structure includes four short double-helical elements and three loops (D, anti-codon, and T loops). Lineage: Eukaryota; Fungi; Basidiomycota; Agaricomycetes; Polyporales; Fibroporiaceae. The record is from RNAcentral.